UUCCCCCCUUUCUUUCUUUCAUUCAGAAAGAAAUCAAAUCACACAACCCCAGGCAAAAAAUCCUAGCACUGUAAGCCUACACCACCGCCGCAAGGAGUGGCAUACUGCCGCGCCCGUCGCACUCAAAGUUUGCCAUUCGUCCGUCUAUCUAGCUUCCUUCGUGAUCCAAGUCUUCAACCCCUGUUCGCUGUCACCGAUCGCGGCUGCUUCCUCGAGCUCGGCGUCCGUCGUCUUUGUCUGCUCAGCCGCGCUUCCGUCGCCGUUUGUUUGCCGUUCACGUUCGCAUCUUCGUUCAGCUGUCGUCUUCGUUCGCGUUCUUCGCCGUUCACGUUCGCUCGGCGUUUACUGCUCGCGUUCACUCGCCGUUCACCGUUCGAGUUUGCAUUCGUGUUCGUCUGGAAGCCACGUUGCUCUGCUUCAAACACUGCGACCAACCCGCACGCUCCACCUAGCCGUCGAACUGCUCUCUUUUGUCGCCUCCGGUCAACCUGUUCAACGUGUGACCUACUAGUUGAACCAGUAACCUAGUAAACAAUACCAUGUCUGGUUCAAUCACCGGCUAACGUUGGCUCUACCACUCGUCACCACUGCCGCCUGCGCCUCUUGCUUUCCUUCUCUUCUCUCGGAUUUCUGUAAGCGGCAAUAACACUUAGAAAAAGAGACAGGAGCAUCGGUAGUUCAGUAGAACAGAAAUCGGAGAGAAGGGAAGGAAAGCGAGAGGCGCAGGCAAAGGCGGCACCGGUGACGAGUGGCAGAACCAAGAUGAGACUGGGCAACAAUGGAGAACAAACAAAAUCAGUGAUUGAACCAAUCGGAGUAUUGUUUACUGGGUCUGGUUCAAUCAGUAGAUCACACGUUGAACCGGUUGACCCUGUCACACUUAAAUAAAAGUAUAAAAUAGUCAAAAACUUAAAAAUAAAUUUGAAAUAUAUGUCUUCCCUAACAUUGUAAUAACGAUCAAGUCUCAGUUUCUAAACAUAACUAAUACAAAAAUUUCAAUUAGCGUUAAACUUUCAUUAAAACGAUCAAGUAAAAGUAACAAUCAAAUAUUAAACCUACAUUAAAAGAGGAUGGAAGCAACGGGCUUCUAAUGACGCUGCAAAAAUGUGGUGCCUCGAGUAUGAAGGUUCUGCUUGGAUUUGGAGUUUAUGCAGAAGCAUGUUCUUCCAUCACUCAACGGUUUACCCCAUGGUAAUCCCAUACGAUGGCAAGUUGUGCAUCAUUGGGGGGUGGAAUAUGGGUUGAUAUCUACCAUCCAAAAUCAGAAUUUUGGGAAAAAAAAGGAAGUAGCCGAGAGUGUGCACUUGCGUCCUCGCACUUGCUUUUUGUGGGAAACCCUCAUUGUGUAUUCUGUUGAUGAUGAUAACAAUCAAUGGCUCAUGUCAUAUGAUUUGAAUGCCAACAUUUGGAGCCCCAUUGAGUGCAAUUUUUCGCCUGCUCGUGAUUACCUACGUAUGAAACUCUUCGUUUGGGUUGCAGUGAUUAUCUUCUUAUUAUUGACUUUGUCACUAUUUGGUACAUCUAUGACUUGUCUAAGAAGAAACUCGUGGCAAGGAAAGUCUGAUUUCUGUCUUCGUUAAUCCAGAUAAAAUGGAUCUUGAGGAAGAGUGUUAUGCCAGAGUCAAUCUCCAAACCUAUGGUAAUUUUUCUGCUAAGGUUGAAUUCAAGGGUAAUCUUAAAGUUGGUCUCUAUAGGAAGCACUAUGUAUAAGCAUGCACAUUUCUCUUCUAUCUGUUCUUUCUAUUAUUAUACUGUCUUAAACUUAAUUAAUUCAUGACCCUAUCCAUUGUGGAUAAAUUUGCUAGUGUAGACCAAGACAUUAAAAAGGGAAGAUCACUGUAGCAUAGAUGUUGCUGUGAUAUCUUAGGAAUAUGUUAUCUUGAACAUAUUAACUUAUAUUUUUCUUUAUCACAUAGCACGAUCAUAUAUAUGUUAGGGGUAAAAAAUAUAUAUAUACAUUUAUAUUCAUGGACAAUAUGAAUUGCUAAAAAUUAACUAGUAUCCAGUAGCAUAAUUCAUUUUUGGAGUGGCCUAUUUACAAAUUAAAGUGAAGGGUUUAAGAUUGAGUUACGUUUUAGUCUCUCUUAUGAUGAAGAUCGAAGUUAUUCAACAACAUUUUUUAAUUUCACACCUAUUUUAUAAGUUUAUUUUACAUUACUUUCUGGAGGCAAUUUUAUUGGUUUGUGUAUGGAUAUUCAUCCCAAACCUUAUGAUCUUUUGACUACUACUUUUUUAGGAACAAAUUUCUGUUUGAUCCCUUUGUUGUUUCACAAAGUACAAUUUGAUACUUUGAAGUAGUUAAUCAAGAUAUAA
Molecule: RNA transcript, 2313 nt
Organism: Arachis stenosperma
Lineage: Eukaryota; Viridiplantae; Streptophyta; Magnoliopsida; Fabales; Fabaceae
Gene name: serine carboxypeptidase-like 25
Exons: 3
Source: RefSeq, a predicted model, not a curated record